This 2900-nucleotide ribosomal RNA is filed under the name Klebsiella pneumoniae. RNAcentral describes it as "bacterial LSU rRNA". It matches the Rfam family "Bacterial large subunit ribosomal RNA". RNAcentral also lists the same sequence under 5 other names. The record is from RNAcentral. Lineage: Bacteria; Pseudomonadati; Pseudomonadota; Gammaproteobacteria; Enterobacterales; Enterobacteriaceae.
UUAAGCGACUAAGCGUACACGGUGGAUGCCCUGGCAGUCAGAGGCGAUGAAGGACGUGCUAAUCUGCGAAAAGCGUCGGUAAGGUGAUAUGAACCGUUAUAACCGGCGAUGUCCGAAUGGGGAAACCCAGUGCAAUUCGUUGCACUAUCGUUAACUGAAUACAUAGGUUAACGAGGCGAACCGGGGGAACUGAAACAUCUAAGUACCCCGAGGAAAAGAAAUCAACCGAGAUUCCCCCAGUAGCGGCGAGCGAACGGGGAGCAGCCCAGAGUCUGAAUCAGCUUGUGUGUUAGUGGAACGGUCUGGAAAGUCCGACGGUACAGGGUGAUAGUCCCGUACACCAAAAUGCACAGGUUGUGAACUCGAAGAGUAGGGCGGGACACGUGGUAUCCUGUCUGAAUAUGGGGGGACCAUCCUCCAAGGCUAAAUACUCCUGACUGACCGAUAGUGAACCAGUACCGUGAGGGAAAGGCGAAAAGAACCCCGGCGAGGGGAGUGAAAAAGAACCUGAAACCGUGUACGUACAAGCAGUGGGAGCACCUUCGGGUGUGACUGCGUACCUUUUGUAUAAUGGGUCAGCGACUUAUAUUCUGUAGCAAGGUUAACCGUAUAGGGGAGCCGCAGGGAAACCGAGUCUUAACUGGGCGUUAAGUUGCAGGGUAUAGACCCGAAACCCGGUGAUCUAGCCAUGGGCAGGUUGAAGGUUGGGUAACACUAACUGGAGGACCGAACCGACUAAUGUUGAAAAAUUAGCGGAUGACUUGUGGCUGGGGGUGAAAGGCCAAUCAAACCGGGAGAUAGCUGGUUCUCCCCGAAAGCUAUUUAGGUAGCGCCUCGUGAACUCAUCUUCGGGGGUAGAGCACUGUUUCGGCUAGGGGGUCAUCCCGACUUACCAACCCGAUGCAAACUACGAAUACCGAAGAAUGUUAUCACGGGAGACACACGGCGGGUGCUAACGUCCGUCGUGAAGAGGGAAACAACCCAGACCGCCAGCUAAGGUCCCAAAGUCAUGGUUAAGUGGGAAACGAUGUGGGAAGGCACAGACAGCCAGGAUGUUGGCUUAGAAGCAGCCAUCAUUUAAAGAAAGCGUAAUAGCUCACUGGUCGAGUCGGCCUGCGCGGAAGAUGUAACGGGGCUAAACCAUGCACCGAAGCUGCGGCAGCGACACUAUGUGUUGUUGGGUAGGGGAGCGUUCUGUAAGCCUGCGAAGGUGUGCUGUGAGGCAUGCUGGAGGUAUCAGAAGUGCGAAUGCUGACAUAAGUAACGAUAAAGCGGGUGAAAAGCCCGCUCGCCGGAAGACCAAGGGUUCCUGUCCAACGUUAAUCGGGGCAGGGUGAGUCGACCCCUAAGGCGAGGCCGAAAGGCGUAGUCGAUGGGAAACAGGUUAAUAUUCCUGUACUUGGUGUUACUGCGAAGGGGGGACGGAGAAGGCUAUGUUAGCCGGGCGACGGUUGUCCCGGUUUAAGCAUGUAGGCUGAUUGUCCAGGCAAAUCCGGAUAAUCAAGGCUGAGGUGUGAUGACGAGGCACUACGGUGCUGAAGUAACAAAUGCCCUGCUUCCAGGAAAAGCCUCUAAGCAUCAGGUAACAUUAAAUCGUACCCCAAACCGACACAGGUGGUCAGGUAGAGAAUACCAAGGCGCUUGAGAGAACUCGGGUGAAGGAACUAGGCAAAAUGGUGCCGUAACUUCGGGAGAAGGCACGCUGGUGUGUAGGUGAAGUCCCUGCGGAUGGAGCUGAGACCAGUCGAAGAUACCAGCUGGCUGCAACUGUUUAUUAAAAACACAGCACUGUGCAAACACGAAAGUGGACGUAUACGGUGUGACGCCUGCCCGGUGCCGGAAGGUUAAUUGAUGGGGUUAUCCGUAAGGAGAAGCUCUUGAUCGAAGCCCCGGUAAACGGCGGCCGUAACUAUAACGGUCCUAAGGUAGCGAAAUUCCUUGUCGGGUAAGUUCCGACCUGCACGAAUGGCGUAAUGAUGGCCAGGCUGUCUCCACCCGAGACUCAGUGAAAUUGAACUCGCUGUGAAGAUGCAGUGUACCCGCGGCAAGACGGAAAGACCCCGUGAACCUUUACUAUAGCUUGACACUGAACAUUGAGCCUUGAUGUGUAGGAUAGGUGGGAGGCUUUGAAGCGUGGACGCCAGUCUGCGUGGAGCCAACCUUGAAAUACCACCCUUUAAUGUUUGAUGUUCUAACGUUGGCCCCUGACCGGGGUUGCGGACAGUGUCUGGUGGGUAGUUUGACUGGGGCGGUCUCCUCCCAAAGCGUAACGGAGGAGCACGAAGGUUAGCUAAUCCUGGUCGGACAUCAGGAGGUUAGUGCAAUGGCAUAAGCUAGCUUGACUGCGAGCGUGACGGCGCGAGCAGGUGCGAAAGCAGGUCAUAGUGAUCCGGUGGUUCUGAAUGGAAGGGCCAUCGCUCAACGGAUAAAAGGUACUCCGGGGAUAACAGGCUGAUACCGCCCAAGAGUUCAUAUCGACGGCGGUGUUUGGCACCUCGAUGUCGGCUCAUCACAUCCUGGGGCUGAAGUAGGUCCCAAGGGUAUGGCUGUUCGCCAUUUAAAGUGGUACGCGAGCUGGGUUUAGAACGUCGUGAGACAGUUCGGUCCCUAUCUGCCGUGGGCGCUGGAGAAUUGAGGGGGGCUGCUCCUAGUACGAGAGGACCGGAGUGGACGCAUCACUGGUGUUCGGGUUGUCAUGCCAAUGGCACUGCCCGGUAGCUAAAUGCGGAAGAGAUAAGUGCUGAAAGCAUCUAAGCACGAAACUUGCCCCGAGAUGAGUUCUCCCUGAGACUAUAAGUCUCCUGAAGGAACGUUAAAGACGAUGACGUUGAUAGGCCGGGUGUGUAAGCGCAGCGAUGCGUUGAGCUAACCGGUACUAAUGAACCGUGAGGCUUAACCUU